This 253-nucleotide ribosomal RNA is filed under the name uncultured bacterium. RNAcentral's name for it is "partial 16S ribosomal RNA". It matches the Rfam family "Bacterial small subunit ribosomal RNA", at positions 524 to 776 of the family's 1533-position model. The record is from RNAcentral.
UACGUAGGGGGCAAGCGUUAUCCGGAUUUACUGGGUGUAGAGGGAGCGUAGACGGCAAUGCAAGUCUGGAGUGAAAGGCGGGGGCCCAACCCCCGGACUGCUCUGGAAACUGUAUAGCUGGAGUGCAGGGGAGGUAAGUGGAAUUCCUAGUGUAGCGGUGAAAUGCGUAGAUAUUAGGAGGAACACCAGUGGCGAAGGCGGCUUACUGGACUGUAACUGACGUUGAGGCUCGAAAGCGUGGGGAGCAAACAGG